AAAAUUCUAAUAAGAAUGUAUUUGUAAUUUUUCAAAUCACAUGGACUAAUCUGUAUCUUAAGCAAACCUUAUGGGGUGUAUUUGUAAUUUAUCCUUUUAAUUAUUAAUAUUUAUAAUAUUUUUCACUUUUUUUUGUAAAUAUUUCUCAGUGACAUUGUGUUAAUGUAAUUCCCCUUAAUUUUAAUAUUAAUGUGGGUAAUUAAAUAGAAGAAAAAAGAAAAAAAACGAUUAAAUAAUAGGUUGAAGCACUAAUAAAUCCUAAAUUAUAAACUUACGCACAACUUAAUCCUACAUAUUUUCCUUUAAACUGAAAAGUCCUAACAGAUAUGAAAUGGCAUAAUUGUCCUUCAUCAUGUGCUUGUUUUAUGUUUUUAAUAGAGGGCAAUAUAGGUUUUGGCUAUUGUCGAAAUUACUCUUAUGGACAUAAAGCACACUAGAGGUUUUUAUAGUUUUCCCUCUUUUUUGAUUGAAUCUUUGAAUCUAUGUACAAAACCAUUGGUGAUCGACAUUUCCAUAUUUAAACAUUAACAUGCUUGUGGAUUGAAACCCUAAAUGUGAUUUCUGCAUUUCCGAUGAGAGGGAGUUUGAAUUUGACAUUCGUGUUUGACGAGUAACCUUAAUCGGACGUAUAUCUACAUUAUGCACAUCAAGUAAGAACGUUGUGGAUCGCGAUGGACAAGGGUUAUCUUCAUCAUGGCCGUUGAUUACAUAAACAUCGAGGGACGUCAUCUGUCAGUGUACCAUACGCUGCCGAUUUCAAUGAAACCCAAAGGUAAUGCUCAAGGACAGUCCCACCAGAAAGUACAAGUUGUACGAAUGCGAGGUUCCGGCAUGAAAAAAUGGACAUCGACACAGUUAACAAUCAAGAAAUAAGCAAAGUUACCGUUCAAGUGUAAUAAACCAACAUCAGCCAUAAAAGAGAUUCCUCGGGUCGACACGUCCAAGCUUAUGUACCAUUUGAAUUGCCGGUGUUAUCAAAACCGUGUUAGAGGUGCGCCUGAACGAUGGUCACAUCCAGCAGCUCAAGAAAACUCCAUUCUGGCUAAUGCUCGAAGCUAUCCGCAACCACAAAUUGCAGCCAAACACGUUCAAGAAGUGUGAUGAAAUAGUUUGCUGCAUAAUACCGACGUACAAUGUAGCAGAUGAAAAAUUUUACAUUGGCGGGCAAGGACUAGCAUUAAAAAAUAGUGACAUUCGGCUAAUUUUCGGUGUUCAAUGUGGUAAGGAAUGGUUAGAUGUGUUGUACGCGCCUAAACCCCCAUCUGAUUUGUGCAACGGAGUUGCCUAAAUGUGGGAUGAAUAUCAUCCAAACUAAUCAAAGAUUUAUCGGUUGAAGCGCUGCAAGGUAAUGCAGAACGUGAUGAGGAGGACAUCGCAAAGCUCAUGUGUUUGUAUAUUUGCACAAAGUUGUUGUUUGUAACAACCAGAGAGUCGAUAGGUUGGUCUUUUGUACGUGUAAUUGACAAAUUGGAUACGUUACGACAAUAUAAUUGAACAGCGACAAUCCGGAACACUCUAAUUAAUUCACUGAAUGAGUUUCACCACAGGCUUGAGAAGGUGAUCGGAUGUGUCAUAGAGUUGCUGUUUCAAAUGUGCGAACACACAACGCUUCUGGACCCAGAACGACCUAUUGCAAUUCCAAGAUUUUGUAGAUGGAACAUUGCGCUGCUCAUAGCAAAGAUGAAAGGACUUAACUUGAUAGCACCAGAUUCCUUCAAGGUGAAUUACAAUAAACUUGGUGGUACAAUACUUGAGUGAUUCUACGUGAAUCAUGCAAUUGAUGACCAUGUGGUAAAGUAGAAUGUAAAGGGCGAGUUGGGGCUGUGACAGAUGAAAAGAAUGGUGAUAUUGGUGAUGUUGCCAUCGAAAUGGAUGACGUUGAGCUGAGUUUGGAUUAUUAGAGACCGGACUCCCCAAAUGGUGGUCACGUUGACAGUAAACCCACAAAUGAGGUCGGCGUGAAUGUUAUGGAUGUUGUAACUAUGCAAGGGCAUGUGUGUGUGAACAUGGAUGUAGCAGGGGAGGGGUGGCCGAACCUGUUUCCUGAUCUGCUUGAAUUGUCAGGCACUGCUGGUGAUAUAAACAUUAUGGGAGUGGAGACAGAAUUGAUAACUGCAAAUCAGAAAAUUAAAGAGUUGGAGGAUGCAAACAGAAUCAAGACAACGCAGGUGAAUGAGUUAGAAGGGAGAGUAGCUGUCGUGGAACGUCUGAUCGGUGCACCAAUUUAUUGGGUUUGACAUCGUGCUUCUGUUGAAAGACGAAGAGAUAGUGCAUUUGAACGCAUUGGUGUUGCAACUGAAGGAGACUGUCACAACGUUGGAAAACCAAGUGUUUGAACACGAAGCACAUGCAGUGACGUAAUCAGCCACGAAUACAACGUCAAGUAAGAGGCCAUCGUUUGAGCAACAGUUGGAUAAGUGUGGUAGUUCUACCCACAACCUAAACAGUGGCAGUCAACACCAUUCGGGGGUCUACAAAAUUGAAUGAUGAACCUGUUAUUCCAGUGGGGUCAGUGAGCAUGGGCAUCGCAGACGACGUGGAGGUUGAAACCCCAUCAAAGUCCCCCCUUUUGGGUAUCCCACAGUUGCCUACCCCUCCGGGCUGCCCAUCUCUAACCAUUGAAAAAGCCAAUUUGUCUACCAUCGUGGAUGCAUAUAAAUGUGGUAACAAUUACAAUCCAAUGUGUCAUCAUUAGUCCGACGCGUUAAAAACAAAUCGAGGCACGAGUUAAGGUGAGCAUUCUGGAGCCCGAGCCUGAAGGCCUUUGUCUGGAUCUGUGUUCUGUUGUCAGCCAACCAUUGUGCCUCACGUGGAGGUUCCCGAAGUGUCCUGUGUUCAAGUUUUGUUAGUUCUAUGUAUGACUUGUCUUAAUUCUGUUGGCUGGACUUAAAAUACUGUAAUGUGUGUGGGUAUAAUGUAUGGUUGACUACCGGUUAUGUAU
Camellia sinensis is the source of this 2941-nucleotide non-coding RNA. The record is from RefSeq and is a predicted model, not a curated record. NCBI's taxonomy places the organism in Eukaryota, Viridiplantae, Streptophyta, Magnoliopsida, Ericales, Theaceae.